AAAAAAAACGCGAGUCAUGAAAAAAAUUCAAGCAGCAUUUUUUUUAGACUUAGACUCUCAAGAUCUAAAUUUCUAAAUAGUCUAGAUGUCUAAAUCUUAUUAGAUCUGAAUGUUUCUUUUCCAGAUUUCGUCAGAUGUCUAGAUGUAGUCAGUGAAUGGAUUAUUUUCAUUUAUUUAGAAUCCAAAUCUACUUGAUUGUCUUGAUCUAGAAAUAGAAUCAGAUCAGUUACGGUACUUGACUCGAUUUCUUUGUGCGUGUGUGUCGUCAGUGGAUAGACUAGACGUAUACAACUAGAUCUAGAUCUACUCUAGCUAUACUAGUGCCUUGUAUGUAGAUCUAAAUAUGAUUUUAUCAUGUUUUAUGAUCAACAAUAAAUACUCAUAGCAACGGACAGUCAUGAGUCAAACAUUCACACUGACAAGUCGACGAGUGAUGUCACGUUGACAGUUGACAAUCAAAUCAUGAAUCACUCCACAUUAUUCUGAGGAGACUGUGACCCCUUGACCCCUGUGACUGAGAAACAUGCUUUAGAAUUCUGAGGCCAAGGACAAGGAAAGAGAUAACAGGGGUGAAUCAGAUGGCACUGUAGUGUCAACUGUUAUGAGAACCUAUUGUCAAGUAUUGUCAAUGAAGACCACUUGCCACCCAGUGUCCCAAAUGGUAUUGGAGAACCUAAUACUAGGGCUAGGCUAAUUCCAAUUUAAUCUUACAAGAUCAUGGCAACUUAUGAGUGGAUUAAAGGAUAGUUUACUAAAUACACUGAGCCUAGAUCUGAUCAAGAUUUUUCUCUUUGGCCUAAAGAAUGAGACCUUUAAUUCUUAAUAUGCUUGAGGUGUGAUUUGACAUGGAAGGAUUAUUUGUACACACGUGAAGCUUCAAGAUACAGCAUAGCUCUGUGAUAACCUAAGGAUAUCAUUAUCUCCAUAGUUGGACAGAUAGGACAUAUCCAAUGAUACCAUCCAGACAGCUCACGUUCAUGAUCAUCAUGUGGGAGAAUGUGAAGUAUUACACUUUCCUGAAUUUGAAUUGUUAUAAUGUAUGUUGAGUGGGUGACAAUAUGUUUGUGAGCUAUGUCGUGGCAGUUUCAGUCUCUUUCACUGGGCAUUUAGAAAUGUACAAGUUGGUGUCUAGGGGGUUAAAGUAGGUGUGGCCAUCGGCUCAAGUGUCAUUUCUUGGUAUAAAAUAGGGACAGUGUUUAAGGUAGAAAUCAGCUUCAUAUUUAAUCCAAACAUAUUAAGGGGAUACGACUGGAGAAAUGUUUCUCAUUUUUUUGUAAACAUUUUAAAUUAAUCAUAUUUAAUCCGAUCAUAUUAAGGGGAUACAACUGGAGAAAAGUUUCUCUUUUUUUUUGUAAACAUUUUAAAUUAAACAUUUAAUACUUUAAUAGACACAUACAAAAAAAAAUGCAGUUAUUGGCCUUCAAACUUUGUUGGUUGUCAUCUUACUUACAGGCCCAAACACACACAUUUAUAUUAUUUUUAAUACAAAUACUGUACUAAAAAAAAACAAAAUUCAAAAUU
Biomphalaria glabrata is the source of this 1521-nucleotide long non-coding RNA. RefSeq lists it as uncharacterized. The transcript is spliced from 4 exons. NCBI's taxonomy places the organism in Eukaryota, Metazoa, Mollusca, Gastropoda, Planorbidae. The record is from RefSeq and is a predicted model, not a curated record.